Molecule: ribosomal RNA, 467 nt
Filed under: uncultured bacterium
Lineage: Bacteria
Description: partial 16S ribosomal RNA
Rfam family: Bacterial small subunit ribosomal RNA
Source: RNAcentral
GACGAACGCUGGCGGCGUGCUUAACACAUGCAAGUCGAACGGAAAGGCCCUGCUUUUGUGGGGUGCUCGAGUGGCGAACGGGUGAGUAACACGUGAGUAACCUGCCCUUGACUUUGGGAUAACUUCAGGAAACUGGGGCUAAUACCGGAUAGGAGCUCCUGCUGCAUGGUGGGGGUUGGAAAGUUUCGGCGGUUGGGGAUGGACUCGCGGCUUAUCAGCUUGUUGGUGGGGUAGUGGCUUACCAAGGCUUUGACGGGUAGCCGGACUGAGAGGGUGACCGGCCACAUUGGGACUGAGAUACGGCACAGACUCCUACGGGAGGCAGCAGUGGGGAAUAUUGCACAAUGGGCGGAAGCCUGAUGCAGCAACGCCGCGUGCGGGAUGACGGCCUUCGGGUUGUAAACCGCUUUCGCCUGUGACGAAGCGUGAGUGACGGGAAUGGGUAAAGAAGCAACGGCUAACUACGU